UAAGCGGAGGAAAAGAAACUAACAAGGAUUCCCCUAGUAACGGCGAGUGAAGUGGGAAAAGCUCAACUUUGAAAUCUGGUACUUUCAGUAUCCGAAUUGUAGUCUCAAGAAGUGUUUUCUGUGCUGGUCCAUGUAUGAGUCUGUUGGAACACAGCGUCAUAGAGGGUGACAACCCCGUUCAUGACAUGGAUACCAGUGCUUUGUGAUACACUCUCGAAGAGUCGAGUUGUUUGGGAAUGCAGCUCAAAUUGGGUGGUAAAUUCCAUCUAAAGCUAAAUAUUGGCGAGAGACCGAUAGCAAACAAGUACCGUGAGGGAAAGAUGAAAAGCACUUUGGAAAGAGAGUUAACAGUACGUGAAAUUGUUGAAAGGGAAACGAUUGAAGUCAGACGUGCGUGAUGCGGUUCAGCUCUGGUUCGCCAGAGUGUACUCCGUAUCUUUGCAGGCCAACAUCGGUUUUGUUAGUCGGAUAAAGGUUUGAGAAAUGUGGCAUCUUCGGAUGUGUUAUAGUCUCAGACUGAAUACGAUUGAUGGGACCGAGGAACGCAGCGCGCCGCAAGGCAAAGGUUCCGACCUUUUCGCGCUUAGGAUGUUGGUGAAAUGGCUUUAAACGACCCGUCUUGAAACA
Molecule: ribosomal RNA, 627 nt
Filed under: Cystobasidium pinicola
Lineage: Eukaryota; Fungi; Basidiomycota; Cystobasidiomycetes; Cystobasidiales; Cystobasidiaceae
Description: eukaryotic LSU rRNA
Rfam family: Eukaryotic large subunit ribosomal RNA
Source: RNAcentral